RNAcentral lists this long non-coding RNA (745 nucleotides) under Cyanistes caeruleus (blue tit). RNAcentral's name for it is "lncRNA (ENSCCEG00000002145.1)". The record is from RNAcentral. Lineage: Eukaryota; Metazoa; Chordata; Aves; Passeriformes; Paridae.
AUGCCCUGCAGGGUCCCAUUGCAGGACAGGGGACCCCCGGAGUCACCCUGGGGACACACAGGGGUCAUUCAGAGGUCACUCAGGGGUCAGAGAUCACUCAAAGGUCACUCGGGUCACUCAGGGGUCACUCAGUGUCACUCAGUGUCACUCAGAGGUCACUCAGGGGUCACUCAGGGGUCACUCGGGGGUCAGGGGUCACUCUGGGGUCACUCAGGGUCACUCAGGGUCACUCAGGGGUCACUCAGGGGUCACUCAGGGUCACUCAGGGGUCACUCAGGGGUCACUCAGGGGUCACUCAGGGUCACUCAGGGUCACUCAGGGNNNNNNNNNNNNNNNNNNNNAAAUUCCCAAAUUUUCCCAGAAUUCCCCCCCAGACCCCCCAGAAUCUCCCGGAAUCCCCCAGAAUUUCCCGGAAUUCCCCGGAAUUUUCCGGAAUUUUCCCCGGAAUUCCCCGGAAUUUUCCGGAAUUCCCCGGAAUCCCCCGGAAUCCCCCGGAAUUUUCCGGAAUUCCGGCUGUUCCGGCCGCUCACAGCGUUUGAUGCGCGGCUGUUCCCCGAAGGGCGGGGCCAGGAACGCCUCCCGGAAAAGUUCCCCGAAGGGCGGGGCCAGGAACGCCUCCCGGAAAAACCAAACCACGUUCACCAACCACAGGAACGGCAACAGCAGGAACCCACCUGGGACAGGUAAACAACACACCUGGGACAGGUAAAAAUACACCUGGAGACACCUGGGACAGGUAAAAAUA